RNAcentral lists this ribosomal RNA (478 nucleotides) under uncultured bacterium. Its description in RNAcentral is "partial 16S ribosomal RNA". It matches the Rfam family "Bacterial small subunit ribosomal RNA", at positions 28 to 523 of the family's 1533-position model. The record is from RNAcentral.
AUUGAACGCUGGCGGCGUGCUUAACACAUGCAAGUCGAACGGUAAGGCCCUUCGGGGUACACGAGUGGCGAACGGGUGAGUAACACGUGGGUGAUCUGCCCUGCACUUCGGGAUAAGCCUGGGAAACUGGGUCUAAUACCGGAUAGGACCACUGCCUGCAUGGGUGGUGGUGGAAAGCUUUUGCGGUGUGGGAUGGGCCCGCGGCCUAUCAGCUUGUUGGUGGGGUGAUGGCCUACCAAGGCGACGACGGGUAGCCGGCCUGAGAGGGUGACCGGCCACACUGGGACUGAGAUACGGCCCAGACUCCUACGGGAGGCAGCAGUGGGGAAUAUUGCACCAUGGGCGCAAGCCUGAUGCAGCGACGCCGCGUGAGGGAUGACGGCCUUCGGGUUGUAAACCUCUUUCAGCACCGACGAAGCGCAAGUGACGGUAGGUGCAGAAGAAGGACCGGCCAACUACGUGCCAGCAGCCGCAGUAA